Long non-coding RNA from Ostrea edulis (European flat oyster), 992 nucleotides. RefSeq lists it as uncharacterized. The transcript is spliced from 3 exons. The record is from RefSeq and is a predicted model, not a curated record. NCBI's taxonomy places the organism in Eukaryota, Metazoa, Mollusca, Bivalvia, Ostreida, Ostreidae.
GAAUUCCAAUACUGAUCAUGAAUUCUUAGUCUCUUACUCAAUUUUGUAAAAUGCUGCUAACCUGUUGCAUAUGGCACAUGCAAUCCUCACAAAAUCACCGAUGUAAGGUAUUUGACUUGAUGGUAGGAUGUGCCCUAAAUACCGCCAUUGUUUAAUCCUAGCAUUUGCUGACUCCACAACCCAUCGAAUCUGUAAUGUAGGCAUUUUGGCACAAAUUCCCAUCUCUUGGAGGUAAUCCAAAGAAUCCCUAAAUCCACGGUCAACCACAAAGAUAUCAUUCUCGUUGACCCAGCUCCGUAUGUCCUCGAUAUUGCUGCGCAUUAUAUGGUUCAAAAUGGUAGCGUCAUUGUUGCGAGCUAAGUAGGGGCCCAAAACAGAAAUGAAGUAGCCUGUCGUCGAUACAAUAAUCAUUGGCUUCACAAGUGGUCUCCCUUUGUGAAGGCUAAAAGACUGUCGUUGAAACUUAAAAUUUCCGCUUUUAUUGAUAUAAAUGUAAGUUCCAUCAAGGACAAGUAUUGCCUGUUGGGACAAUGCAUCACCAAAUAUGGAUUGGGCUAAAGGUCAAGUGUGUUCUUGAAUUAUCUUCUCUCUUGUCACAUGGCCAAAACCAAGAUUCCCAGUGACAAAUCCACCAUUCAUUAAUGCUGUGCGAAUUGUCUUCACUGCUCUGUAAAUGCUGGAUUUGGAUAUCCUAAACAAUGUUGAGAGGAUACAGUUGGAUUUUCCACCUCUGAGCUUCAUCAGGAAAAUGGCCAAACUCGUUUUGACAGUUCUCACUGGAGUUACCUUGACUUUUCCCUCAACAUAUGUCAGCAAGUCCUCAAACGCAGCUUUAGGGAUUCCUAGGAGAUUCUGAUGCUUUGGACAGCAGCGAGCCCCGGCAGGAAUGAUAACCUCUUUAGAAAUGAAGAUUUGAUGUCUUACUCCUAAGGGUACUACAACUAGCUUUGGACCUGGUCGCUUACAGAUACAGCAUGAAGCGUGCCCUCUUG